GACGAACGCUGGCGGCGUGCUUAACACAUGCAAGUCGAACGGAAAGGCCUUUUCGGCGGUACUCGAGUGGCGAACGGGUGAGUAACACGUGGGUGAUCUGCCCUGCACUCUGGGAUAAGCCUGGGAAACUGGGUCUAAUGCCGGAUAGGACCGCACUUUAGUGUGUGUGGUGGAAAGUUUUUUCGGUGUAGGAUGAGCCCGCGGCCUAUCAGCUUGUUGGUGGGGUAAUGGCCUACCAAGGCGGCGACGGGUAGCCGGACGGAGAGGGUGGUCGGCCACAUUGGGACUGGGAUACGGCCCAGACUCCUACGGGAGGCAGCAGUGGGGAAUAUUGCACAAUGGGCGCAAGCCUGAUGCAGCGACGCCGCGUGGGGGAUGACGGCCUUCGGGUUGUAAACUCCUUUCGCCAGGGACGAAGCGUUUUGUGACGGUACCUGGAGAAGAAGCACCGGCUAACUACGUG
Molecule: ribosomal RNA, 463 nt
Filed under: uncultured bacterium
Lineage: Bacteria
Description: partial 16S ribosomal RNA
Rfam family: Bacterial small subunit ribosomal RNA
Source: RNAcentral